This 61-nucleotide transfer RNA is filed under the name Cavia porcellus (domestic guinea pig). It matches the Rfam family "tRNA", at positions 6 to 65 of the family's 71-position model. Rfam says of the family: Transfer RNA (tRNA) molecules are approximately 80 nucleotides in length. Their secondary structure includes four short double-helical elements and three loops (D, anti-codon, and T loops). Further hydrogen bonds mediate the characteristic L-shaped molecular structure. tRNAs have two regions of fundamental functional importance: the anti-codon, which is responsible for specific mRNA codon recognition, and the 3' end, to which the tRNAs corresponding amino acid is attached (by aminoacyl-tRNA synthetases). tRNAs cope with the degeneracy of the genetic code in two manners: having more than one tRNA (with a specific anti-codon) for a particular amino acid; and 'wobble' base-pairing, i.e. permitting non-standard base-pairing at the 3rd anti-codon position. The record is from Rfam by way of RNAcentral. Lineage: Eukaryota; Metazoa; Chordata; Mammalia; Rodentia; Caviidae.
UAUAGCUCAGUGGCACAGCGCUUGCCUGACAAGCAUGAAGUCCUGAAUUCAAUUUCCAGUA